Long non-coding RNA from Callithrix jacchus (white-tufted-ear marmoset), 6291 nucleotides. RefSeq lists it as uncharacterized. NCBI's taxonomy places the organism in Eukaryota, Metazoa, Chordata, Mammalia, Primates, Cebidae. The record is from RefSeq and is a predicted model, not a curated record.
CUCAGUGCCCAGACGCUGCGCAUGCAGCAAGCUUCUCCUGAUUCAGCUGCACCUUAAAAGGAAGCAUGCCGGCUAGCGGAUAGCUUGUCAUGAGUUUGUGACACGUGAAACAAAGCACUGUGAUAAGGGGUGGAUUUCUCAGUAGAUGAGAAUUCAAAUGGUGUUGGAACACAGAACUCAGCCUCAUUCCACAUCCUCUUGGUGGUUCAGUAAACAGAGCAACAGAAAGCAACGGGGAAACUCUGGCGCAGAACUGUGUCUGUGCCGACGACAUAUCCCAUCUCAGUGGACCUGAGUAAGAUGGAAGGAAGUGCAGAGAACAGUACGAAUUGCAAAAGGAACAAAUGACGAGGACCUAGAUCCCAAAGCCCAGUGAUGCAAGCGUAGAGUCUGGUGGACAGGAGAGGGCAGGCUUCCCUGAGUUUCCAGUCUUCCUGGCCCCUAGUUCAUGUCUGGCUGCCCUUACGGAGGUUGUCAGAAGGAGCAGAGUUGUCAGACCGUCCUGGGAAGAGGCGAAUCGGCUGUCUGCAAGCCCAGGGCCGGCACGCAGAGGAGAAAGUCUUGUGUGGUGGAAAAGCUCCAGCAUUCUGGGCAUGGAAUCCUGAUCUGCUAAUUCCAGAGACUGAAUCAACAGAGGAACACAGAGAAAGCCACCCUGAUGUGUGAGAAGGACAGGAGAAAUAAAAACCAGCGAUAAGAGAGCGCUGAGAUAAGGCUGCUGGCGCCAGGGAGCGACGGGGUUUAGCACCUACAGAGAGCUUAUGGUUGCCGCUGCUGCCCUGGGCCCUAAUUGCUGAGAUCCAAAAUGGUGAGAACGAUUCUGCUAAAUUGUUUUGGGUCUAGAUUCUAGAUUUCAAAAAAUAUUUGCUUUACCUGCCAAAGAGCAGGAUCUGUCUAGAGUCUGUACAAUAAAUACAAGGGAAAACGUAAUCUCGUGUCAAUUAAGAUGUAUAGAAAUACACUAAAGCACUAUGGGCUUGUUUCUUUUUACCCUGCUUCUCUCAAAAUGGAUCUGUGAUGGCCAUGUAAAUGCAAAGUCUUGGAGUAUCCAGCGUCCAUGAAAGGCGACGUUAGGAAGUUGUUAGGCUGCUCCGUUGUAACUUCCGUUUUCAUUGUGGACUCCUAGUAGAAACCCAUGACCCAGAUGUUCUCACGCCUUCCUCCGAGGUCACUUGCAGUUUCCAACUCAAGGACUCUCCAAAGAUACACGGAUCAGCUGCCUACAUCUUAGGCCCUUGAAAACAUCUGGGCAGCUGGGUCUCCUGACAGGCCAGACCAGUCUCUCCAGAUGACCAGUGGGUGGCAGGAGGCUGCACAAUGUAUAACCCCCCAGCCACCCCCCUCCCCCCGGCCUGGCAGCCUACGGCUCAGGAAGAGUUCUCUGCAGACUGCACGAACUUGGCUCUUGCAGCAGGCAGCUGCAUGGAUGACAGACCAAGAGCUAUCUCUCCCGGGAUAAGAAGCUGGAUGCUGGGCGAUGCCAAUUCAUUUUUCCCCUCAUCAGUUAGUGGAAACUCACGUCCACAGAUUGAUUUUCAAAGGAAUAAAUGUUAUCACCAGAUGUCAUCUGUGUAGCAGCCCCCUUCAGAAAAACUUUUCCUUGGUAAUGGGGGAAAUUUGACUUCAAGGAGCCAGUACGCAGCUGUGUACGAUGGGUUUCAUCUUUUUACAUUAGACACGCUCUGUCGUGAGCUCUCAGUGACUUCACUUCCCAUCUUGUGUGCAGCUUUGCCACCAUCGCAACAUAACUGAUGCUUUAUGAGGCCAGUUUCACGGUCGGCUGGCACCUCUGCACUCUCUGAGGUACCAGUGACAGUUAUAAUGGGACUGGCUCACCAGGCACCUGUGGCCUUCAGGCAUGAUACAGGCAGCCACAGCGCCCAAAAGAAACGUAUGAAAGUGAGACCUGAGAUCACAGACUAGCUUCAUCUCCCUGAAUUUAUUCCAUGCAAAACCAAAACAAAACAAAAUGCCAUCUACCAGCUAGAAGUUUCCAUCAAAAUCUGAAUGAGUCUAAGUGCCGUGUUCACCUCAAAAAUGACGUCUUUAUUAUUGACAGUCCACUGAUAUGAACAGAAAUGACCAUUUUUAUGAAAGAAGAUUUUAUGAUAGGAAAGGACAAGGGAAGUGGAGCGGAGGUGCACCACGGUCAGGAGAAGGUCCUCAUUCUGUUCACCAUCACCAAGGACUAAGGUGGGGUGGGCACUGGGGAGGGAGGGUGUGAAUUCGCUCACACAGCUACCGUGAGAUUCAUUACUCACUGUACGAUACUGAGUUUUGGCUAUGAAUUGGCCAGGUUAGUGAUUCCAAAACAAGGUAACAUAAAAAUGACCAGCACAAUUCCCAACACAAGAGCAACUCCAUUUUACAAAAGCACAGAAAAACAACUUUCAUCCUUUCAAACAUGGAAAGCAGAACCCAAACAGACAAAUGAAAGCAACAACAAUAAACCGUGGAAGUCAGUAUCUAUUCUCACAGGACGUGACUGACAAGUGCAUGAGAAGCUCGGUCCCAGCAGGAGAGUUUACAGGCUUACGUGCUGGAAGGAACCCAGUGGACCUCUGAGCUCAUAUUUUCUUCUGAAUGUCAGUUAAGGAAAUCAAGACAUACAUAUGCUGAGUUUUCAAAGCCUCACUUCACUCUGGAUUCUUUUGAUUAAAGUAGAAAUGCUCUUGUUUUGAGAAUGCGGGCAAUCUAGGAAAAGGCACAUAAAGUAGUCAAUUACAUGAACUCUGUCCAUGUGGAUUUCAGACUUUAGAAUUAAUACUCUAAUUGAUUAUUCUUAGAAAUGCUAGCAAUAAAAAGCUCCAAAUUCCUAAUGUCUAAUCCAAUCUCAAAAUUGACAGAUCUUAAGUAACAUCAUCAGAACCACAUUUGUUAUCUGCAAAUUGCUGGAGCUACAGUGUCGGUCCCACACUGCCUGCUGGCCCUCCCCGGAGUGGCUGAUGGCAGGGCAGGAUGAGCUAUCAUUAGCUGGCACAGGGAUGGCCUGCAUCUACCUGUCAUGGUGCUUGGUGACAUCUGACACUACGAGCUUGUUUGGAUCUGGGGGAGAAGGUAUAUGAACUUGAUUCCAUAAGGCUGUUUUGCUAAACGAAACAGCUUUCUUCCAAAACAGUCUUAACAACAAUGUGAUAAAUACAGAAAACUGUUCUAGGGAGCAAAUCAAAGUCAUUUUAUUUGCUGCAUUUGUGGGGGUGGGUAAAAUGUAAGAGGGUUGGGCUCUAAGCCUACUUUUGAUUUGCAAGUGCCCUACACUGUGAAAUCACCAGGAAAUUAGAGCCUGAAAUGUGGCCACUUAUCUGCAGGCCUCCAAGUGAGGCAGGGGCUAACACCGCUGAUGCAAAUCUUGCCACAGUAAUUAAGGCAAAUGUUCAGCCUGACGGGGAGCCACCCAAUCUCAUCCUCUAGGGCACUCCUGGAGUCCUCAAAUACAUUGUAGGAUUCAGCAUCUAAUGGAAUUUUCAGACCAAAUGUAAAAGGAAGGGACAGCUGGUUUACAAAAUUUCACCUGCUAAUCUUGUGCUAUAGGCCCCGUUUUCCCUCUCAUUCUGUUCUUAGCAGAGCAGGAGCUACAGGUAGCAUGGAAGAACAGAGGCAGCCUGCACUAUACAGUUCUCUGAAAAUUACAGACUGCUAUCCAUUAAGGAGCAGUAAAGUCAAGUUAGUGUGUUGCAAUCAGAAUUUUUUUUCUAAAGAAGAUAGAGUAGUCUAGGAAAUGCUAGGAGUAGAUUAAUCAUUAAUAAACCUUCAUUAGAGUAAGUAUUGUUUUGCCAGACUUUAGUUCGCUCUCUCUCUCUCUCUCUCUGUCUCUCGUGUGUCUGUUUGUGUGUGUGUGUGCACGCGCGUGUUUGUACAGGUUCAGGGUUUGGAUAAGUUGCCCUACCAGAUAGAUCCCCUCUGAUCUGAAAUCCUCUAAGUGCGAGUCUCCUCAGAUACAGGCAGCUCCUCAGAGGCUGAAGAAGCCUGCCAGUGACACAAGCCUGCCAUUGUCUAAGGUCUACUCCUGGGCCCUGCUUGCCACCAGUCAGGACCAGAUUUUAGAACACAGUAGGGACUUGUAUUGCCAAGGAAUGGAACUCUUUCCACCAACAGCUUCGGCAUUUCUCAGCUUGUUCAACUCUCCCUGGCUCUACUCUCUGGAAGGACGCCUUACUGCCUAAGGGAGGCAGGAGGGGUGCGGACAACCACAGGCCCCUCCCCCGCUGUGGCCUCGCCUCCCAUUCCCCGGCUGAUUACACAUCUUUGGCUCACACAUCCACAUCUUUCACUGCAUUAGGAACCACUACUGCCAGAACCGUUCAAGACAGUAGUUUUCAUCACUUUUUACCCCAUAGCAGAUAAUUACAAAUGCAAGACUUGUUUAUCAUAUUCCAUCAUUAUAGCGUUUUUCCUGACAUGAUUGAUCCUUUUCAUUCGGAAGACCCAUUUGGUGGAGCUGAGGGCAUCCUCCUCCAGAACAUGAAAUUGUGCAAAGCCAAUAAAAGAAAAUUAGAAAUAGAGGUCUUUGAAUUAGAAAUUGGGGUCAAAAUACUGCCUCUGUCACUUGCCAACCGGGCGAUCCUGCACACCGGUACCUCUCAGGGACAGCUGAGGAGUCAGAUGAGGUCAGGACAAAGUGCUCAACACAAUUCCUGAUCCCCAGAGGAGCAUCAUAUGUCUUGAAAAAGCAAAGUCACAUUUAAGAACAGUCUCAUAUACAAAAGUAUAUUGUGUACCUCACAAAAUACUCAAAUACAGGUUGGCCCAAUCAACAUCAGAAUGCAUUUUUCAGUUCUUCAGGGUUAACAUGAGGAUUUCUUCCACAAGUAGGAGUAUUUCACACUUUACUAGCUGCAUUCCUUAAGCCAACAUGACUGUCUUUAGAAGAAAGAUGUUUUUAAAACGAUAAGAUAUAUUUUGAAUUUUCAAACAGUUAGUUACAUAUGACUUUCUCAACAGACAAGGCCGGCCAUUUCUUGGCAUUUCGGGCCACAUGUCUGAGUUCUGAUUUUCAAUCAGGGUUUAGCAUAGUGUUUUUUAAGAAAUUAGGUGAACCUUUUAGGUCAUAAGAUUUAUGGUUUUAGUAAAUCAUGUGCUUUCCAUCCUUUUAAAUGCCUUCAUGUUAUACUUUAUCAUCUAUUUUGCUUAUAUCUGAAUCCUAAAUAAUAUGGCCAAGUCCAGAAAAUCUGCGUAUACGACCUUGAAGAAAAUGCACAUGGGCAGCAAAAGACCCACGGUCUGGGAAGAGGCCCAAGGUCAGGGGCUUCCUGGCUGUGUGACCUUGACUGGUGCCCCUUUGUAUUGCCAUCUUGUUUCAUCAGCAAACAAGAGCUGUGUAUUCUGGAGAUCAUUUGGAGUUCUUUAAAAAAACAGAAAAAAGACAAGCUCAUCAAAACUAAAAAUGCAUGUACGGCUCCUGAAAAUAUCCAUCACCUAGGCUCACGAAGGUGAAUUUGAACUGAAUGAAUCCUUUGAGCAGCUUGUAUUGACAGGAAAGAGGGCAUCCUGCAUAGCAGGUCAGAGGGAGGCCCCAUGAAGUAAACCCUGAGUGGGGGCGUCCCAGCCUGGCUGGGAAGACACGUGGGCUCUGGCAGGUCAGGGAAGGGUGAGAGGUGGGCCUGACUUUUGGAUCAAGUUUCAGACAAACCACAGUGGAGGACACAUUGUUGAGCCAACUGGAGAUGUGUCAGUAGACUGGCUGUUGGGUGACAUAUGGCUAAUUUUUAGGUUUGAUGACAGUAUUGUGAUUAUGUUUUAAAAAAUCAUGUUUUUAGAGACACACGAUGUGAAAUGGAGAUAGUGUUGUAGGAAAAAAUGGGGUUUCUUGGAUGAGACGUGACUGGCCUUAAAAUAGUUUAGGAAUGGAAGGACAGAUGUGGAAGAAAACAAUCUUAAUGAUUUGGGGUUCUGCACGUGCAUUAAAACUUAUACCUGAAAACUUAAAAAUUCUUCUAUUGAAAAUCUUAUUUGAAUGGCACCCACCGCCAGGCCUCCCUAGCAAGCCCUCCUGUGUGCACAGAGGAGCACAUAUGAACAGUGCUUCAUGUACUGGCUGCAAAGCCCAGAACAAGCUUAAUCCCCUUUUUAGUGACAGUCAUGGAAGACGAGGGAGCCAUUCCACGCAUGGGACUGACUUACACAUACUUCAGUUUAGAAAGCUCUCAAACAAAGUGAAAUUAAGUUAAAAAAAAGCAAGAGGCAAAACAAUAUGCAUGAAUGACAUAAACUCAUUUGUACAAAAACGUAAACAAAACUUAAAUGAUUGACUUUUAUUUCUACAUAUAUUUGUAUGUAAAAUACACAGAAAAA